GUGAAUCAUCGAAUCUUUGAACGCAAAUUGCACUUUCUGGUAUUCCGGAAAGUAUGCCUGUUUGAUGGUCAGUUAAAUAAAAAUCGCUGUUGUUGCUGCUAUUCUUUGUGACGCGUCUGAAUUGAGUACUCUUACCUUCCUUUACGGGACUUAAAAUCUCGCAUGAUUCUCGAACGUAUUUUA
This 183-nucleotide unclassified non-coding RNA is filed under the name Glomus sp. RNAcentral describes it as "partial contains 5.8S ribosomal RNA and internal transcribed spacer 2". The stretch from base 1 to 71 matches the Rfam family "5.8S ribosomal RNA", at positions 84 to 154 of the family's 154-position model. The record is from RNAcentral. Lineage: Eukaryota; Fungi; Glomeromycota; Glomeromycetes; Glomerales; Glomeraceae.